GUUUGAUCGAUCUCAGGAGGAAGCACGGGCUAAGUUCGUGCCAGCAGCCGCGGUAAGACGAACCGUGCGAACGUUGUUCGGAAUCACUGGGCUUAAAGGGCGCGUAGGCGGGCUCGCAAGUCAGGGGUGAAAGCCCACGGCUCAACCGUGGAAGCGCCUUUGAUACUGUGGGUCUCGAGGGAGGUAGGGGCGUGCGGAACUUCCGGUGGAGCGGUGAAAUGCGUAGAUAUCGGAAGGAACACCGGUGGCGAAAGCGGCGCGCUGGACCUCUUCUGACGCUGAGGUGCGAAAGCUAGGGGAGCAAACGGGAUUAGAUACCCCGGUAGUCCUAGCCCUAAACGAU
This 343-nucleotide ribosomal RNA is filed under the name uncultured anaerobic ammonium-oxidizing bacterium. RNAcentral describes it as "bacterial SSU rRNA". It matches the Rfam family "Bacterial small subunit ribosomal RNA", at positions 467 to 810 of the family's 1533-position model. The record is from RNAcentral.